Molecule: ribosomal RNA, 693 nt
Filed under: uncultured bacterium
Lineage: Bacteria
Description: bacterial SSU rRNA
Rfam family: Bacterial small subunit ribosomal RNA
Source: RNAcentral
UGGCGGACGGGUGAGUAACGCGUGAGUAACCUGCCUUCAAGAGGGGGAUAACAUUCUGAAAAGAAUGCUAAUACCGCAUGACAUAUCGGAACCACAUGGUUUUGAUAUCAAAGAUUUUAUCGCUUGAAGAUGGACUCGCGUCCGAUUAGUUAGUUGGUGAGGUAACGGCUCACCAAGACCGCGAUCGGUAGCCGGACUGAGAGGUUGAACGGCCACAUUGGGACUGAGACACGGCCCAGACUCCUACGGGAGGCAGCAGUGGGGGAUAUUGCGCAAUGGGGGCAACCCUGACGCAGCAACGCCGCGUGAAGGAUGAAGGUUUUCGGAUUGUAAACUUCUUUUAUUAAGGACGAAAAAUGACGGUACUUAAUGAAUAAGCUCCGGCUAACUACGUGCCAGCAGCCGCGGUAAUACGUAGGGAGCAAGCGUUGUCCGGAUUUACUGGGUGUAAAGGGUGCGUAGGCGGCUUUGCAAGUCAGAUGUGAAAUCUAUGGGCUCAACCCAUAAACUGCAUUUGAAACUGUAGAGCUUGAGUGAAGUAGAGGCAGGCGGAGUUCCCCGUGUAGCGGUGAAAUGCGUAGAGAUGGGGAGGAACACCAGUGGCGAAGGCGGCCUGCUGGGCUUUAACUGACGCUGAGGCACGAAAGCGUGGGUAGCAAACAGGAUUAGAUACCCUGGUAGCCCACGCUGUAA